This is a long non-coding RNA of Zingiber officinale, 349 nucleotides long. RefSeq lists it as uncharacterized. NCBI's taxonomy places the organism in Eukaryota, Viridiplantae, Streptophyta, Magnoliopsida, Zingiberales, Zingiberaceae. The transcript has 3 exons. The record is from RefSeq and is a predicted model, not a curated record.
GGCGAGGACGUAUACCUCAGGCAGUUCCCUCAUCUUCCCGAGGCUGGAGCCGAGUGGAUCGGGUCGGGUUUCUCUCAGCCGAUUGUGGAGGUCUUCGGCAGCAAGGUUGGGAGGAUUGUAUGGAUUGAGGUUUUGUGGUGGCAGUGGCUUGCUGGGAAGGGGAUCGAUCACAACCUCCAGCAGCUGUUCAUCAUCCGAGACUCAUGGGAGCUCUGUUCGUGAAUUUUGGCAGUGGCUCACUGUGAGGAGUCCGGCCACAAUUCCCAACUGCUGUGCUUCAUCCGGGGAUUAGUAGCUCUGUGAGGACUUGGAUCUGUUAAUCAGCAGCAUUUGGGCAGCAUCGGUGUGC